This 817-nucleotide long non-coding RNA is filed under the name Heterocephalus glaber (naked mole-rat). RNAcentral describes it as "lncRNA (ENSHGLG00000036579.1)". Lineage: Eukaryota; Metazoa; Chordata; Mammalia; Rodentia; Bathyergidae. The record is from RNAcentral.
CCUCUCCCGAUCCUCGCGUAGCCGCGGCCAUCUCGCCGGUCCUUAGACCGGCCCAGGUCCGGCGUAGCCGGGAGGACCCGGGAAGGCAGGGUGGGGACCCCAGCGUCUGCGCGGCGGGCAGAAAGAGCCCUGGCCUUGGCACCGGUCUUGCCCCCUACCCGGGAGGACUUCGCCCAGGAGCUUGGGGAGAAAGUACUUUCCUUGGGGGCAGCGGGUUAGCCUCAGAGUGAGGCGUCAGCUGCGCCCGCAGUGAUGACUGCCUCUUUCCUUUCUUAUUUCCGAAAUGAAGUCUAGGGGAGUGGAAGCAUUUAUGGCGAGUUGACUUGGAGAAGUUCACUCCGCAGAGCCAUUGAGGACCACACUCCUGUUUCAGGGUAUGGCUGCUUGCCUGAAGCCGCCCAAAGAACAAUGAGAAGUCCAGGUCAGACUCAGAGCUGCCUCGUCCCGAGCCAGCUUCUGAGGAGAAGAGCGGUGCCCAAGACCUGCGAAUCCAUCACUACUGGGUAGUAGCCAUGAGGACGCCUGAGUUUCUCAUUGAAAAUAUGUCAAUAAAAAGGAAGGACCGUGUCCCAGUUUUUAAAAACUGGGGUUCCUUGCUUAAUUAGCGUAAUUACUAUAUUCAGUCCCUUUGGAGUCCACAGAAAGGAGGCAACUGUGGGGCUGGAAUGGCCACAGCAGUCCUUGCCUUGGGCCUGUUUGGACUAGUACCAUGGACACUGAAAUGAGGCCUACCUUGAAACCAGUGUUUUCAUGUGCUUUCAAUUCGUUUCUUAGUGAAAAACUAAAUUUCUUUCAUGGCUUUUGGCUUAACAGCUAA